RNAcentral lists this long non-coding RNA (614 nucleotides) under Brassica rapa (field mustard). Its description in RNAcentral is "long non-coding RNA (BRAP_LNC005576)". Lineage: Eukaryota; Viridiplantae; Streptophyta; Magnoliopsida; Brassicales; Brassicaceae. The record is from RNAcentral.
UGUUAAUCAAGGAAGGUUCGUUUAAGCAUUAAUGCUUGUGGAUCUAUAUUGAUGGUCAUUGGUCAAGACAGUGUUUGGAAUCACAUGGUUAAGUGUCAGGAUUUUUUUCUCAAAUUUAUUAUGGUAAUGGGGUACGUGAAAGGUACGAAACUGUGGGAAGAUUACAUAGACAAUCAAGUCUAGUAGAAAAAGAUAAGAUUGGACCAGCAAGAGAUUGGUAUGUAUACAAAGUACAAUACCCUAAGCCCUCUAUCACCUGUCUCUUUCCUCUGUACUUCGCCUUCCCUCUUUUGUUUCCUUCCUCCCCACUCACAGCAACUAAGGCAGUCAAUUUUCAGCUAGGAUUUAUAGCCUUGAGAAAGAAAAAAAAGUGAAUACUACUGCCUUGAAAGUUACAUCUACAUGAUGAUGAUAUAUUAACUAGAGUAUGCUAAGUUGCAAAAGUGAUAAAGUAAGCUAGAUUUGUGGGUUAAAGACAAACCUUUUGCAGAGUUCCCGAAAUGGGAUUAGUUUUGUGAGUUUGUAUGGGUUUACCCUCAAAGGAACCAAUCAACUUUCUGGUCAGAGGCUCGGUCUUUUUGGGCAUUUCAUUUACAUAUUAAUAUUGAACACCC